CCUACGGGCGGCAGCAGUGGGGAAUAUUGGGCAAUGGGCGCAAGCCUGACCCAGCAAAGCCGCGUGAAGGAAGAAGGCUUUCGGGUUGUAAACUUCUUUUGACAGGGAAGAGUAGAAGACGGUACCUGUCGAAUAAGCCACGGCUAACUACGUGCCAGCAGCCGCGGUCAUACGUAGGUGGCAAGCGUUGUCCGGAUUUACUGGGUGUAAAGGGCGUGUAGCCGGGUUGACAAGUCAGAUGUGAAAUCCUGCGGCUUAACCGCAGAACUGCAUUUGAAACUGUUGAUCUUGAGUACUGGAGAGGCAGACGGAAUGCCUAGUGUAGCGGUGAAAUGCGUAGAUAUUAGGAGGAACACCAGUGGCGAAGGCGGUCUGCUGGACAGCAACUGACGGUGAGGCGCGAAAGCGUGGGGAGCGAACAGGAUUAGAUACCCGUGUAGUC
This 442-nucleotide ribosomal RNA is filed under the name uncultured bacterium. Its description in RNAcentral is "partial 16S ribosomal RNA". It matches the Rfam family "Bacterial small subunit ribosomal RNA", at positions 338 to 795 of the family's 1533-position model. The record is from RNAcentral.